RNAcentral lists this ribosomal RNA (619 nucleotides) under uncultured Russula. Its description in RNAcentral is "eukaryotic LSU rRNA". The stretch from base 183 to 336 matches the Rfam family "5.8S ribosomal RNA". The record is from RNAcentral. Lineage: Eukaryota; Fungi; Basidiomycota; Agaricomycetes; Russulales; Russulaceae.
ACAACCGAGGUGCAAAGGCUGUCGCUGACCCUCAAAGGUUGUGCACGCCCGAGCGCUCUCACACAAUCCAUCUCACCUUUGUGCAUCACCGCGUGGGUCCCCUUUGCGGGAGGGCUCGCGUUUUCACAUAAUAACUCGAUACAGUGUAGAAUGUUUCUUUUGCGGUCACACGCAAUCAAUACAACUUUCAACAACGGAUCUCUUGGCUCUCGCAUCGAUGAAGAACGCAGCGAAAUGCGAUACGUAAUGUGAAUUGCAGAAUUCAGUGAAUCAUCGAAUCUUUGAACGCACCUUGCGCCCCUUGGCAUUCCGAGGGGCACACCCGUUUGAGUGUCGUGAAUUCUUCAAAACCCUUUUUUCUUCGAACCAUCGUGGUCGGGAAAAGGAUUUUUGGACUUGGAGGUUUAAUGCUCGCCCUUUCUUUUGNNNCGAGCUCCUCUCAAAUGAAUUAGUGGGGUCCGCUUUGCUGAUCCUUGACGUGAUAAAAUGUUUCUACGUUUUGGGUUUAGCACUGUCGCUUGGNUGCCUGCUCCUAACCCGUCUCAUUGACAAUGAUGGUGCUCUGGUCACUGCCGUCUACAUCGGCGGGAGGCUGGACCCACAAAAANAAAAACCUUGA